GUUAUAGGGACAAGCGACUAAGUGCACAUGGUGGAUGCCUUGGCGAUAUCAGGCGAUGAAGGACGUUGUAGCCUGCGAUAAGCUGCGGGGAGCUGGCAAACAAGCUUUGAUCCGCAGAUUUCCGAAUGGGGAAACCCGGCCCUUUGGGUCAUCUCACACUGAAUACAUAGGUGUGUGAAGCGAACGUGGCGAACUGAAACAUCUAAGUAGCUACAGGAAAAGAAAUCAACCGAGAUUCCCAAAGUAGUGGCGAGCGAAAUGGGAACAGCCUGCAAGAUUUAGCAGUCGAGAUAGCAAAAUGCUCUGGAAAGUGCAGCCAUAGCGGGUGAUAGCCCCGUAUGCGAAAUCUGGAUUGUGGAACUAAGCUUGCGACAAGUAGGGCGGGGCACGUGAAACCCUGUCUGAACAUGGGGGGACCAUCCUCCAAGGCUAAAUACUCGAUAUCGACCGAUAGUGAACCAGUACCGUGAGGGAAAGGCGAAAAGAACCCCGGAAGGGGAGUGAAAUAGAUCCUGAAACCGUGUGCAUACAAACAGUAGGAGCCUCGUAAGGGGUGACUGCGUACCUUUUGUAUAAUGGGUCAGCGACUUACAUUCAGUGGCAAGCUUAACCGUGUAGGGAAGGCGUAGCGAAAGCGAGUCCGAAUAGGGCGUUCAGUCGCUGGGUGUAGACCCGAAACCAGAUGAUCUAUCCAUGGCCAGGAUGAAGGUGCGGUAACACGCACUGGAGGUCCGAACCCACUAGUGUUGAAAAACUAGGGGAUGAGCUGUGGAUAGGGGUGAAAGGCUAAACAAAUCUGGAAAUAGCUGGUUCUCUCCGAAAACUAUUUAGGUAGUGCCUCAAGUAUCACCACCGGGGGUAGAGCACUGUUAUGGCUAGGGGGUCAUCGCGACUUACCAAACCAUUGCAAACUCCGAAUACCGGUGAGUGCGAGCUUGGGAGACAGACGCCGGGUGCUAACGUCCGACGUCAAGAGGGAAACAACCCAGACCGCCAGCUAAGGUCCCAAAGAUUGGCUAAGUGGAAAACGAAGUGGGAAGGCUAAAACAGUCAGGAGGUUGGCUUAGAAGCAGCCAUCCUUUAAAGAAAGCGUAAUAGCUCACUGAUCGAGUCGUCCUGCGCGGAAGAUGUAACGGGGCUAAGCCAGUCACCGAAGCUGCGGAUCUGCAGUAAUGCAGAUGGUAGGAGAGCGUUCUGUAAGCCUGCGAAGGUGUCUUGUAAAGGAUGCUGGAGGUAUCAGAAGUGCGAAUGCUGACAUGAGUAGCGAUAAUGCGGGUGAAAGGCCCGCACGCCGUAAGCCCAAGGUUUCCUGUUCAACGUUCAUCGGAGCAGGGUGAGUCGGCCCCUAAGGCGAGGCAGAGAUGCGUAGCUGAUGGGAAGCAGGUUAAUAUUCCUGCACCGUCGUUAGAUGCGAUGGGGGGACGGAUCGCGGAAGGUUGUCCGGGUGUUGGAUGUCCCGGUUCCUGUAUCAAAGAAGGCCAGUAGGCAAAUCCGCUGGCGUAAUUCAAGGGUAUGGGACGAGCGGCCUUGUGCCGCGAAGCAAUCGGAAGUGGUUCCAAGAAAAGCCUCUAAGCUUCAGUCUAACGAGACCGUACCGCAAACCGACACAGGUGGGCGAGAUGAGUAUUCUAAGGCGCUUGAGAGAACUCGGGAGAAGGAACUCGGCAAAUUGGUACCGUAACUUCGGGAUAAGGUACGCCCUUGUAGCUUGACUGGCCUGCGCCAGGAGGGUGAAGGGGUUGCAAUAAACUGGUGGCUGCGACUGUUUAAUAAAAACACAGCACUCUGCAAACACGAAAGUGGACGUAUAGGGUGUGACGCCUGCCCGGUGCUGGAAGAUUAAAUGAUGGGGUGCAAGCUCUUGAUUGAAGUCCCAGUAAACGGCGGCCGUAACUAUAACGGUCCUAAGGUAGCGAAAUUCCUUGUCGGGUAAGUUCCGACCUGCACGAAUGGCGUAACGAUGGCCACACUGUCUCCUCCCGAGACUCAGCGAAGUUGAAGUGUUUGUGAUGAUGCAAUCUACCCGCGGCUAGACGGAAAGACCCCAUGAACCUUUACUGUAGCUUUGCAUUGGACUUUGAACCAAUCUGUGUAGGAUAGGUGGGAGGCUUUGAAGCGAGGACGCUAGUUCUCGUGGAGCCGUCCUUGAAAUACCACCCUGGUUUGUUUGAGGUUCUAACCUUGGCCCGUUAUCCGGGUCGGGGACAGUGCAUGGUAGGCAGUUUGACUGGGGCGGUCUCCUCCCAAAGUGUAACGGAGGAGUUCGAAGGUACGCUAGGUACGGUCGGACAUCGUGCUAAUAGUGCAAUGGCAUAAGCGUGCUUAACUGCGAGACUGACAAGUCGAGCAGGUACGAAAGUAGGACAUAGUGAUCCGGUGGUUCUGUAUGGAAGGGCCAUCGCUCAACGGAUAAAAGGUACUCUGGGGAUAACAGGCUGAUUCCUCCCAAGAGUUCAUAUCGACGGGGGAGUUUGGCACCUCGAUGUCGGCUCAUCACAUCCUGGGGCUGUAGCCGGUCCCAAGGGUAUGGCUGUUCGCCAUUUAAAGUGGUACGUGAGCUGGGUUUAAAACGUCGUGAGACAGUUUGGUCCCUAUCUGCCGUGGGCGUUGGAAGUUUGAGGGGGGCUGCUCCUAGUACGAGAGGACCGGAGUGGACGAACCUCUGGUGUACCGGUUGUCACGCCAGUGGCAUUGCCGGGUAGCUAAGUUCGGAAGAGAUAACCGCUGAAAGCAUCUAAGCGGGAAACUUGCCUCAAGAUGAGACUUCCCGGGAACUUGAUUCCCCUAAAGGGUCGUUCGAGACCAGGACGUUGAUAGGUCAGGUGUGGAAGCGCAGUAAUGCGUUAAGCUAACUGAUACUAAUUGCCCGUGCGGCUUGUCCCUAUAACCUUAGCAGGU
RNAcentral lists this ribosomal RNA (2898 nucleotides) under Noviherbaspirillum sp. UKPF54. RNAcentral's name for it is "23S ribosomal RNA". It matches the Rfam family "Bacterial large subunit ribosomal RNA". Lineage: Bacteria; Pseudomonadati; Pseudomonadota; Betaproteobacteria; Burkholderiales; Oxalobacteraceae. The record is from RNAcentral.